Bombus terrestris (buff-tailed bumblebee) is the source of this 1457-nucleotide long non-coding RNA. RefSeq lists it as uncharacterized. The transcript has 2 exons. The record is from RefSeq and is a predicted model, not a curated record. NCBI's taxonomy places the organism in Eukaryota, Metazoa, Arthropoda, Insecta, Hymenoptera, Apidae.
GGCAACCACAAUUGGUAUAACACGUCCUGUUCUACGAUUCCCAGUUCCUGUAAUAAUUCAAUCUCGUCGACAGUUCUCAAAUGUACCGGAGUUCCCGAUGGCUGCACAGUUGAAAUAUUUUGUAUUUAGUUAUCGAUAAUUCGGUCUUCGAGACAGUUUCGGACAUCGAAUCUGUCCAGAAAAUUACAAAGGGCAUCGUGGAUAUGGUUAGAAGCGUAGAAAGCAGUGGUGCGGACCGGCCUUUUCCAGAGUUUGCCAACUAUGAGUGAACCUAUCGCAACGACAAAUUUCCUCAUCUAACUUUCUACGCCGAGAUGAGAUGAUCGCUCAAUGCCACCAUCACCGGCGCUGCUAUCUUCACUAUAACUCCACUCAUCCACCAACCUGUUCCCCUCUCCUGUUCUUCUUCUUCCUCUACUACACCUUCGAGAAAAUUAAUGAUGGAAUCCGAGAGUUUUCUAUAGGGAACUUCAACGUUAGAUCCCCUAGCCCGGAAGAAAUUCGCAAAGAAGGUGGAAUGGAAAGCAACGACAAUGGAUUUUUCUCGGCGCUCGAUCCGUGAAUGGGUACCGCUUUUAUCCCUUUUCUGGUUCCGUUGCUUUUCCGUACAGCUUACGCCGGGACCAAAUAUCAUGACUCGAGUCGUAUAAAUUAUCUUACGAUUGGUCAAUCCUUAUCCGUUCCUUAUGCCAAUCUAACACAUGUAAUGUGUAAUAAACGUAAGAAAGCAGCAUUAAGUACAUAUCGUUUGAGGAUUCCAGUAGGAAGACAAGCAGUAUAGGUACAUUUUUCUUGUUUCUCCGACGUUAACGUCACUGUACCUGUACUUAAAUUAGGCAAUUUUCGCGUGACAUAAUUGUACAUUUUUUUCAAAUAUCCGAUACGUUGACCAAAUUUUGAAGAAACUUGCGAAAGGGUAUAAUUGUUAAACGAGCGUUAUUUUACAAAUUUCGAAUAUAUUCUCCUAUAAAACUAGGUAAAAACAAGCAUAUAAAUAAGAAUAUUUUCUCUCUAUAACUCGUGCGAAUCCUCAUACGUACUCGUACUUGUUACUACUUAUUUUUAAAUUUAAAAAAUUAUAUAUACGUAAUGUAAACAAAAAGGGAAUAUACAGUUUUGCCACGAAAUAAGCAACUCGCCAUCUCCUCUUCUUCGUUUGAACUUGCCGACAGAAUGAGAGAUCGGAAAACGAGCGAAAGGUCCGUGAAAUUGAGAAGCCAUAAAUUUUUACGAUCGAACGAGCAGCGUCGUUGUUUGGUAAAAGACGAAUAAAGAGCGUAUAACGCUUUCUCACUCUAGUAUUAGCGAUUCCGACGUGUUCUUUAUGCUGUAUCUCUAUGCUGUAUAUCCGAUCCCGAACGUGUUGUUUAUUUCGAAACAAAACUGUAGAAUUUCAUUGAAAUUAUCGGACGUACUUAUUUCCUUUAUUUUCAAAAUAAAAGAACUUGCAAAUUUAA